GACGAACGCUGGCGGCGUGCUUAACACAUGCAAGUCGAGCGGUAAGGCCUUUCGGGGUACACGAGCGGCGAACGGGUGAGUAACACGUGGGUGAUCUGCCCUGCACUUCGGGAUAAGCCUGGGAAACUGGGUCUAAUACCGGAUAUGACCUCCUAUCGCAUGGUGGGUGGUGGAAAGAUUUAUCGGUGCAGGAUGGGCGCGCGGCCUAUCAGCUUGUUGGUGGGGUAAUGGCCUACCAAGGCGACGACGGGUAGCCAACCUGAGAGGGUGACCGGCCACACUGGGACUGAGACACGGCCCAGACUCCUACGGGAGGCAGCAGUGGGGAAUAUUGCACAAUGGGCGAAAGCCUGAUGCAGCGACGCCGCGUGAGGGAUGACGGCCUUCGGGUUGUAAACCUCUUUCAGCAGGGACGAAGCGCAAGUGACGGUACCUGAAGAAGAAGCACCGGCUAACUACGUG
RNAcentral lists this ribosomal RNA (462 nucleotides) under uncultured bacterium. Its description in RNAcentral is "partial 16S ribosomal RNA". It matches the Rfam family "Bacterial small subunit ribosomal RNA", at positions 28 to 507 of the family's 1533-position model. The record is from RNAcentral.